AAGUCGAGCGGCAGCGCGGGACUCGGGCAACUGAGCCCUGGCGGCGAGCGGCGAACGGGUGAGUAACACAUCGGAACGUAUCCCGUAGUGGGGGAUAACCCGGCGAAAGCCGGGCUAAUACCGCAUAUGCUCUACGGAGGAAAGUGGGGGACUUCGCAAGGGGCCUCACGCUAUGGGAGCGGCCGAUGUCCGAUUAGCUAGUUGGUGGGGUAAAGGCCUACCAAGGCGACGAUCGGUAGCUGGUCUGAGAGGAUGAUCAGCCACACUGGGACUGAGACACGGCCCAGACUCCUACGGGAGGCAGCAGUGGGGAAUUUUGGACAAUGGGGGCAACCCUGAUCCAGCCAUGCCGCGUGCGGGAAGAAGGCCUUCGGGUUGUAAACCGCUUUUAGUCGGGAAGAAAGGGUUCUCCUGAAUACGGAGGAUUUUUGACGGUACCGGCGGAAUAAGCACCGGCUAACUACGUGCCAGCAGCCGCGGUAAUACGUAGGGUGCGAGCGUUAAUCGGAAUUACUGGGCGUAAAGCGUGCGCAGGCGGUUCUCCAAGUCCGUUGUGAAAGCCCCGGGCUCAACCUGGGAAUGGCAGUGGAAACUAGGGGACUGGAAUCUGGCAGAGGGGGGUGGAAUGCCGCGUUUAGCAGUGAAAUGCGUAGAGAUGCGGCGGAACACCGAUGGCGAAGGCAGCCCCCUGGGCUGAGAUUGACGCUCAGGCACGAAAGCGUGGGGGAGCAAACAGGAUUAGAUACCCUGGUAGUCCACGCCCUAAACGAUGGCAACUAGGUGUUGGGGGAAGCGAUUUCCUGGUACCGCAGCUAACGCGUGAAGUUGCCCGCCUGGGGAGUACGGUCGCAAGAUUAAAACUCAAAGGAAUUGGACGGGGGACCCGCACAAGCGGUGGGAUGAUGUGGGAUUAAU
Molecule: ribosomal RNA, 915 nt
Filed under: uncultured beta proteobacterium
Lineage: Bacteria; Pseudomonadati; Pseudomonadota; Betaproteobacteria
Description: bacterial SSU rRNA
Rfam family: Bacterial small subunit ribosomal RNA
Source: RNAcentral